UGGGUUUGACAUCUAGGGAACCCUGUGGAAACACGGGGGUGCCUCUUCGGAGGAGCCCUAAGAC
RNAcentral lists this ribosomal RNA (64 nucleotides) under uncultured bacterium. RNAcentral describes it as "partial 16S ribosomal RNA". The record is from RNAcentral.